This 498-nucleotide ribosomal RNA is filed under the name uncultured bacterium. RNAcentral's name for it is "partial 16S ribosomal RNA". It matches the Rfam family "Bacterial small subunit ribosomal RNA", at positions 28 to 507 of the family's 1533-position model. The record is from RNAcentral.
GACGAACGCUGGCGGCGUGCCUAAUACAUGCAAGUCGAGCGGACGGAUGGGAGCUUGCUCCCAGACCGUCAGCGGCGGACGGGUGAGUAACCCGUGGGAAACCUGCCGGUAAGACGGGGAAAACUCCGGGAAACCGGGGCAAAUACCGGAAAACUCUUUCCCUAACAUGAGGGAAAGCUGAAAGAGGGCAUCUGGCUAUCACUAAAAGAUGGGCCCGCGGCGCAUUAGCUAGUUGGUGAGGUAACGGCUCACCAAGGCGACGAUGCGUAGCCGACCUGAGAGGGUGAUCGGCCACACUGGGACUGAGACACGGCCCAGACUCCUACGGGAGGCAGCAGUAGGGAAUCUUCCGCAAUGGACGAAAGUCUGACGGAGCAACGCCGCGUGAGUGAUGAAGGUUUUCGGAUCGUAAAACUCUGUUGUCAGGGAAGAACAAGUACCGGAGUAACUGCCGGUACCUUGACGGUACCUGACCAGAAAGCCACGGCUAACUACGUG